GCCUGCCAGUGACCCUGUUCAACGGCCGCGGUAUCCUAACCGUGCGAAGGUAGCGUAAUCACUUGUUCUUUAAAUGAGGACUAGUAUGAAUGGCAUCACGAAGGUUAUACUGUCUCCUCUCUCUAAUCAGUGAAACUAAUCUCCCCGUGAAGAAGCGGGGAUAAUCUUAUAAGACGAGAAGACCCUAUGGAGCUUUAAACUAAGAAGCAAUUGCCCUCAUACCUUUGAAAUUCCAGAAAACUAAUGAGUACAAGGCACUAUGACUUCCAGUUUUAGGUUGGGGUGACCACGGAGUAAAAACUAACCUCCGUACUGAAUAGGGGCCUUCCCUAAACUAAGGGCCACAACCCCAAGAAUCAAUACAUUGACAGCAAUUGACCCAAAAAAUUUGAUCAAUGAACCAAGUUACCCUAGGGAUAACAGCGCAAUCCACUUCAAGAGCUCCUAUCGACAAGUGGGUUUACGACCUCGAUGUUGGAUCAGGGUACCCCAGUGGUGCAGCCGCUACUAACGGUUCGUUUGUUCAACGAUUAA
Molecule: ribosomal RNA, 534 nt
Filed under: Leptodactylus cf. vastus RB-2011
Lineage: Eukaryota; Metazoa; Chordata; Amphibia; Anura; Leptodactylidae
Description: partial 16S ribosomal RNA
Rfam family: Bacterial large subunit ribosomal RNA
Source: RNAcentral